CCUACGGGAGGCAGCAGUGGGGAAUAUUGCACAAUGGGGGAAACCCUGAUGCAGCAACGCCGCGUGAGUGAAGAAGUAUUUCGGUAUGUAAAGCUCUAUCAGCAGGGAAGAAGAAAGACGGUACCUGACUAAGAAGCCCCGGCUAACUACGUGCCAGAGGCCGCGGUAAUACGUAGGGGGCAAGCGUUAUCCGAAUUUACUGGGUGUAAAGGGAGUGCAGACGGCUGUGCAAGUCUGAAGUGAAAGCCCGUGGCUCAACCGCGGAACUGCUUUGGAAACUGUAUAGCUUGAGUACUGGAGAGGCAGGCGGAAUUCCUAGUGUAGCGGUGGAAUGCUUAGAUAUCAGGCAGAACCCC
Molecule: ribosomal RNA, 356 nt
Filed under: uncultured bacterium
Lineage: Bacteria
Description: partial 16S ribosomal RNA
Rfam family: Bacterial small subunit ribosomal RNA
Source: RNAcentral